CUGCGCUUAGCUGAACAGACGUGACUCCGGAGCACUGCACUUUUGAGAGGAAUUCUGCAGAUGCUGGAAAUUCAAGCAACACACAUCAAAGUUGCUGCUGAACGCAGCAGGCCAGGCAGCAUCUCUAGGAAGCGGUGCAGUCGACGUUUCAGGCCGAGACCCUUCGUCAGGACUAACUGAAGGAAGAAUUCUCAACAACUCAGCUACGCAGCAAGGGCAAUUUACAGUGACUAAUAAAUGUGCCAGCCAACAUGACCUUGAGAUGACUUUGACACAGACCUAGGGAGAAGGUAUAAACUCCACAAGACGGCACCAAAGAUUAGGUUUGAACCUAGGUCAAUAGAACUGUGUACCAAUGUUCGUGACCUGAAUGAACUAUUGGAAGGACAGAAAAAGUAGAUCCCAUAGAGUUUUCAAAGAAGAAUCAGGAGGAAGGUGCCAGCGUUCGAUCGGUCUCUCUUUUCCUCUUGUUCUAUGCUGCCAGAGGAUGGUGCCGAGUCUCAGAUCUUGGGUGAGAUUUAAUCAACGCAGUUUGUGGAUGGAUCUCUGUUGUUCAUGUUAUGAUGUGUUUCUGCUUUCUGCUUGCUUCUUUGUUUAUUGUUAUUUUAUGCAAUUUUGACUGGAUCAAACUGGCUCUGAAGCCUGCGGUCAAUGAACGACACAAUGCUAAGUUAAACUGAAAAUGUUCAAAGGUUCAUUUUAUUAUCAAAGUAUGUAUGCAGAAUACAACUCUGAGAAUUUCUUCUCCAGAUAGCCAUAAAAUACAGAAAACCAUAGAAGUAGUUGAAAGGAAGACACCAAUCCCCCCCUCACACUUUAGUUGUAAUCACUCCCAGGGCAUGAAAAGAAAUGUGACAAAAAACUCCAAAACCCCAAACCCUUUCCUCACACAAAAACUAACAGAUCACCUACAUGGAGAAAAAACAGCUAGACCAUCAAACGCCAAACCUCCAGCCCACCAAUCAGCAAAAAGAAAGAAUGAAUGAGCACAUGAGAAAAGAAAUAGAACUGAAAGAGGACAAUAUGAACUACAGUCCAAUCCAUAAAUCACAAAAGUUUGAUAACAUCAUUGGGACCCAGCAACACAAGGGCAGCAGCAUGAGCCAGUAGCCUCUCCGAGGGAAGUGACAUGAACCACUGGCCUCUCUGACGCAGUGACUCGAACCCAGUGUCCGGUCUGAGCAAAGUGGCAUGAACCAGCAGCCUCGCCGAGGGUAGUGACACAACUGAACUGCACUAAACUGAACAUUCCUAGACUGUUUUGAUAACCUUGUGGUUUGAUGUUUUAUAUUCUGUGUUUUCGCUUGUUUUUUGCCGUUUGGGCAGUUUGUUCUUUUUUUUGUGCGUUGGGGGUUUCAUGAUUUUCUUUGAAUGAGUUUCAUAGCUUUUCUUUGUUUCGUGGCUGUUUUUGGGAAGAUGAAUUUCAGGGUGGCGUACUGCAUACAUACUUUGAAUCUUGAAUCUUGAAUGUGCUGUUAGUGAUAAUAGUCAUGAAAUUCCAGAUCCUGAUUCACAAACUCAGUUGAAGCAGGCAAUACACCACUAUCUGGCCUAGGUGUGAUCCAGCAGCAUGGCUCUUAACUAAUCAUAUAAAUAACCUGGCAAAACAUUUAUUUCCAUGAGUAAUUGGGGAUGGAUAAUAAAUGCUGAGUGCUGAGCCCUCAUCCUGUAAGUAAAUAGUUAAUGAAGGAUUGUGUACAUAUAGGAAUUCAUCCAAGGGUUGCAUUAACAGCUUUAUUUCUCUUUUAACCCUUUUUUAAACAUUGCAAAACACGUAUCUCUUUCAAUAAGGACAGCACCAUUCCCUCCACAUCACACAUUCUCCUGAUUUGCUUCUAUGCCACCAUUGAUUUAUUGCUGCUUAGGUCUAAUCCCUGGAGCUACCCAACUAAGCACACUGUAGAAGUGUCUUUACCAUAUGGAGCAGAGUGGUUUUAGGCAGAUCACCAUAACCCUCCAAAGGGACCUUAGGAGUUCAGCAGUAACUGGUAGUAACAACAGAGGUUAUAAGAAUAGUUUUCAAAAGAUAUGUCUCACCCUGAAGGCUAAGAGUAGUAAUGUUUUGGGAAUACUAUCAUCACCCACUUCCUCUUCAAACCACAUGGCAUUUUGAUGUGGAUAAAUGCUGUGGAGCCCUUAAUGGAAUUGCAUCCAUAUCCUGGAAUACGUCCGAACUGGGGAAUGCCAACAUCAUAAAGAUUAGAGUGAUUCAAAGACAAGGUCACCACUGAGCUCUUAGGAUGAGGAAUUAACUUUGUUCACAUCUUACAAAUAAACAUUUUUUCAAAAUAACCCAUAUACAACAAAAAAGCAGUAUAGACUGGAAAUAAUGUAGGUCUGGCAGCAUUUAUAACAAGGACAGGCAGAUUAUCACUUCAGUUAUGAUCCCUUACCAGAAUAGAGUUAUUGAAGAAAUCCUCAGUAUAAUAAUUCAUACAUUUGGUUACGGAGCAAGACAAUCAUCCACUGUAGAUUGUUUAGUCACUCAGUGAGAUCACAGCUGACUUAUGACCUAAUUCUGUACAUUGCCAAAACUUUCUCAAUCCAAACACAUCUGGAUAACACAAUCUGACUGAUACAAUGCAGAUUUAAAAUGAACAUUGGACCCAGCAUCAUUUUUUUUUAUAUAGGAUAGUUGAAAAUGUUCCUUCCCUUUUGUCUGUAGAAGAGUUUUCCACUUCACUUCUGUUUGUAAUGUUUAGACUGUACCUCUGAAUUUGCCAAACAGUGAAAAUAAAAUAGAAAUCACAACAUAAGUAGAAAAAUACAGCACAGGAACAAGCCCUACAGCCCACUUUGCUGAAGGAAACGCAACCUAACCGGCUAAAUCUCUUCUGUCUGUACAUGAUCCAUAUCCAUUCUUUGCCUGCAUAUUUGUGUGUAUAUCUAAAAGCCUCUUAAAUGGCACUAUCAUAUCUACUUCCAUCACCACCCUUCACAGACUGUUUAAGACUGUUUAAAAAUCAUGGUACGUGCAUCUUGCUUCAACUUUGCAAUCUCAUCCACUGAGGCAUAUCUUCAAGUAAUUGACAUUUCUACCCUGGGGGAAGUUCUGGCUGUCUACCCUAUCCACACCAAUCAUUGUUUUAUAAAUUUCUAUCACUCUUGAGGACAACGUCACUGAAUUGGUUCCAGUGAUUUGUGAGGGGAUGUCACUGAGGUUGCUCAGCUUUUAAGACAUUAUGUUUUCAUCCAAGAGAUGUAUUCUUACCCCUUCUCCUUUAGAGAUGUGUUUAGUUUCUGUAAGUAAUGUCUAUCGCCAGAAUCAGGUUUAAUAUCACUGGCAUAUAUUGAAAAAUUUGUUGUUAUGUGGCAGUAGCACAUUGCAACACUCAAUAAUAAAAGCUAUAAAUUGCAAUAAGAAAUAUAUACAGGUAGAUUAGAUUAGAUUAUGAGGACACUCAGUCCUCGUUUAUUGUCAUUUAGAAAUGCAUGUAUUAAAAAAUGAUACAAUAUUCCUCCAGAAUGAUAUCACAAGAAAACACAGGACAAACCAAGACUAAAACUGACAAAAACCACAUAAUUAUAACAUAUAGUUACAACAGCGCAAAGCAAUACCAUAAUUUGAUAAAGAGCAGACCAUGGGCACGGUUAAAAAAAAGUCUCAAAGUCCUGAUAGACUCAUCAUCUCAUGCAGACGGUAGAAGAGAGGAACUCUCCCUGCCAUGAACCUCCAAGCGCUGCCAACUUGCUGAUGCAGCACCAUCAGAAGCACCUGACCGCAGCUGACUCUGAGUUCGUCCGAGAACUUCAAACCUCUGACCAGCCCCUCCGACACAGCAUCUCCAAGCACUAUCUUCUGCCAAGCGCUUUGACUCCGCCCCGGCCGCUGAGCAACAAACAAAGCUAAGGACUCGGGGCCUUCUCCUCUGGAGAUUCUGGGCCACACAGUAGCAGCAGCAGCGAAGCAGGCAUUUCAGAAGUUUCACCAGAUGUUCCUCCAUGCUCUCAUGUCCGUCUCCAUCAAAUCAGAAUUGUGCACGGCACCCUACUUGACAAAUAACAGACAUCACCACUGGAGUGGCUGCUGCGAGCUGCCUCUCCAUAUCCGUUCUAUCUAGGUCUUUCAAUAUUCGAUAGUAUUCAAUAAGAUUCCCCUUCAUUCUUCUAAAUUCCAUUGAGUACAGGCCCAGAGUGAUUAAAUGCUCCUCAUAUGUUAACUCUUUCAUUCUUGGAAUAAUUCUUGAGAACCUGCUCUGGACUAUCUCCAAUGCUAGCACAUCUUUUCUUAGAUAAAGGGCUCAAAAGUGCUCACAAUACACCAAGUGCAGUCUAACCAUUGCCUUAUAAUGUCUCAGACUUACAUUCUUGAUUUUGUAUUCUAAUCCUCUCAAAAUAAAUGCUAACAUUGUAUUUGCCUUCCUUACCACUGACUUAACCUGAAAGCUAACCCAUAGGGAAUUCCCAAGUCCCUUUUCACCUCUGAAUUUUGAACUUUCUCCCAUUUUGAAAAUAGUCCAUACCCUUAUUCUUUCUACAAGGCGCAUGACCACGCACUUCCAAGCACAAUAUUUCAUCUGCCACUUUUUUGCCCAUUAUCCCAAUCUGUCCUUCUGCAGGCAUUCUGCUUCUUCAAUACUACCUGCCCCUCCACCUAUCUUCAUAUCACCUGCAAACUUGGCCACAAAGCCAUCAAAUCCUUCUUUCAAAUCAUUGAUAUAUAGUAUGGCAAGAAGCUGUCUCAACACCGACUACUGUGGCACACAACUAGUCACCAGCAGCCAACUAGGAAAGGUUCUCUUUAUUCCUAUAAUUUGCCUUCCGUCAGUCAUUCAAUGUUCUAUCCAUGCUGGUAUCUUUUCUGUAAUACCACGUGCCCUGAUCUUGUUAAGUAGCCUCAUGUGUGGCACCUUGUCAGAGACCAUUUGAAAAUUGAAAUAAACAACAUCUACUGAUUCUCCUUUGUCUAUCCUGCCUGUUAUUUCCUCAAAGAAUUCCAAUAAAUUUGUCAGGCAAGAUUUCUCCUUCAGGAAACCAUGAUGACUAUGUACAAACAAAAGAAAAUCUGCAGAUUCUGGAAAUCGAACCAACACACACAAAAUUAUGACUAUGGCCUAUUUUAUCAUGUACCUCCAAGUAUCCUGAAACCUCAUCCUUAAUAAUAGACUCCAACAUCUUUCCAACCACUGAUGUCAGGAUAAGUAGCUUAUAAUUUUCUUUCUUUUGCCUUCCUCCCUUCAUAAAGAGUGGAAUAACAUUUGCAAUUUUCCAGUCCUCCAAAGUCAUUUCAGGAUCUAAAGUUUCUUGAAAGGUCAUUACUAAUGCCUCCACAAUUUCUUCAGCUGCCUCUUUCAGAACCCUGGAAUUUAGUCCAUCUGGUCUAGGUGACUUAUCUACCUCAGACUUUUCAGCUUCUCCUUAGUAAUAGCUACAGCAAUCAGUUCUGCCCCCGGCACUCUUGCAUUUCUGGCAUUUCACAGUGAAGACUGAUGAAAAAUUUCAUCUGCCAUAUCUUUGCCUCCAUUACUGGAACUCCAGCGUAAUUUUCCAGUGGUCCGAUAUCCACUCUCAUCCGUCUUUUACUCUUUAUAUACUGUAUCUGAAAAAAAAACUCUUUGCAUCCUCUUUCAUAUUAUUGGCUAGUUUAUCUUCGAAUAUCAUCUUUCCUCUCUUUCUGCUUUUUUUAGUUGCCUUAUGUUGGUUUUUAAAAGUCUCUGAAUCCUCUGCCUUUCCACUCAUUUUUGCUAUAUAAUAUGCCCCCACUUUUGUUUUUAUUCUGUCUUUGAUUUUCCUUGGCAGCCUCAUCCACCUUUUAGAAUACUUCUUCCUCUUUGGGAAGAAUCUUUCCUGCACCUUCCAAAUUGCAGCAGUAACUCCAGCAAUUGCUGUCCUGCCAUCAUCCCUGCUAGUGACCCCUUCCAAUAAACUUUGUCCAGCUCCUCUCUUAUGACCCUAUAAUUCCCUUAACUACACUGCAAUAUUGAUACAUCCGAUUUUUACUUCUCCUUUUCAAACUGCAGGGUAAAUUCUUUUAUAUUAUGAUCAUAGACUCCUAAGGAUUCCUGUACCUUAAGCUGCCAAAUCAAACCUGUGUCAUUACGUAUCAUCCAAUCCAGAAUUGCCAUUCCCCUUGCUCUCAACUGGAAGUUGCUCUAAAAAGCCAAAUCACACUCAUUCCACAAUUUCCCUCUCUUGGUAUCCAGCACCAACCGGAUUUGCCCAAUCUACUUGCAUAUUGAAUCCCCUAUGACUAUCACAACAUUGCCCUUUUUAUAUGCCUUUCCUGUCUCCCAUUUUAAAUUAUAACCUACUUCCUGGCUACUGUUCGGAGGCCUGUAUAUAACUCACAGCAAAGUCUUUUUACUCUUGCAGUUUCUUAACUCUACCCACAAGCAUUCGACAUCUUCCAAUCCUAUGUCACCUCUUUUUAAGGAUUUGAUUUUACUUUUUCCCAGCAGAGCGACCCCUUACCUUUCGAUGCAAUGUGUAUCCUUGUAUGUUAAACUCCCAACUAUGAUCUUCUUUUAGCCAUGACUCAGUGAUGCACAUAGCAUUAUACUUGCUAAUCUCUAACUGUGCUACAAGAUCAUCUACCUCAUUCUGUAUAUUGUGUGCAUUCAAAUGUAACACCUUUGGACUUGUAUUCAUUACCUAUUUUGUAUUUUGGCCCCCUGUCACUCUUUAACUCAUCCCACUGCCUGCAAUUUUGCCCAAUCAUCUGUCUGUCCUUUUUCAUAGUCUCACUAUACACUGCAUCAAGUUUAUACAAACUGCUCCAUCAUUAGCCUUAUCACUCUGCUUCUCAUCCCCUAACAAAUUGGGUUAAAACCUCCGCAACAGCUCUAUCAGAAUUGAGGGCCUCGGUCAGUCAGAGUUUACCAUGGAUUUUGCAUCCUACCUGUCUAGAUAUGCAAGCCUAUGCACUACGCUAUGGAGUGUAAGCUGUUGCCCAUGUAGCGAGCACCCUGUCUCCAUACAUCUGAUGAACCCAAAGGAACGGCAGAGACUGAUACAGUACAGUAUGAGAAGCAUUACAGGAGUUGUAGGUCAGUGUUGAACUCGAUGUAGGAAGGCUUUAGGGACUCCAGCUCCAGAAUUUUCCCUCUGGCUUUACACCUGAAGACUUUACCAUGAGUGGGUAUAGCUGAAGGCACAGGAGGUUUGACAUCAGAGAUUUCCUUCUCCUAAGUGAGCUGCCAACCAUGGCCGAUGAGCCCCAUCUGCCCGAAUUGACUGGAUUUAAGGCUCCUGUCAGUAGAAACGGUUCCGCUGGGCUUAGUAGCCAAGCCACACAUGAAGACCAGGAGCUCGACUUGGUUGUCAAAGGCUGUUUGAGGCGCACACCUUUGGGGCAUUUAAUAGGUAGUGGGAGUUUGUCCCCAUUACCACUCAUGGCUAUAACAACCUUAAGGAGCCUAUCAAAGCUACUUGCAAUAAUAUUGGUCCCUCUCGGGUUCAGGUGUAAUCUGUCCUUUUUGUACAGGUCAUACCUUCUCCAGGGGAGACCCCAGUUAUCUAGAAAUCUGAAACCCUGUCCCCUGCAUCAGUUCUUCAGCUACAUGUUCAUCUGCUAAAUCAUCCUAUUCAAACCUUCACUGGUGUGUGGCACAGCCAACAAUCUAGAGGUUACUAUUCUGGAGGCCCUGCUUUUCAAAUUUCUAACUCCCUAUGUUCUCCCUUCAGGACCUCCUCCAUUUUCCUACCUACGUCAUUGGCAGCAAGAUAUACCACAAUUUCUGGCUGUUCAUGUUCCCCAUUUAGAAGGCUGUGAACCAAAUCUGAAACCUCCCUGAUCUUGGCACCUGGGAGGCAACAUACCAUCCAGGUCUCUUUUUCAUGUACACAGAACCUGCUGUCUGCUGCUCUAAUUAUGGAAUCCCUAUCACCAUCUUCUCUCCCUUCCUCUCUGAGCCAUAUAGACAAACUCAGAGCCAGAGAUGAGAUCACUGUGGCUUCCCCUGGUAGAUUGCCCUACCCAACAGUAUCCAAAAUGGUGUACUUAUUGUUCAGGGUAAUAGCCACAGGGAUACUCUGCACUGGCUGCCUAUUCCCUUUCCGUCUCCUGUCAGUUACCUAGGUACCUACCUACUGCAGCUUAGUGGCGACUACCUCCCUGUAGCUUAUAUCUAUCUCCUCCACAUUUUCCCAAAUGAGAUGAAGGCCAACUUG
Mobula hypostoma (lesser devil ray) is the source of this 8109-nucleotide long non-coding RNA. RefSeq lists it as uncharacterized. The transcript has 4 exons. The record is from RefSeq and is a predicted model, not a curated record. NCBI's taxonomy places the organism in Eukaryota, Metazoa, Chordata, Chondrichthyes, Myliobatiformes, Myliobatidae.